RNAcentral lists this long non-coding RNA (24447 nucleotides) under Zea mays. Its description in RNAcentral is "long non-coding RNA (ZMAY_LNC003904)". Lineage: Eukaryota; Viridiplantae; Streptophyta; Magnoliopsida; Poales; Poaceae. The record is from RNAcentral.
AAAUUAUGUGGAUAAAUGACAUCGACCAUUAAUUUUCCAAGUCGGAGAUCAUGUGUACCUGAAAGAUCACCAAUGAAGGGUGUUAGUCGAUUCGGGGUUAAAGGAAACUUAGCACCCCGAUACAUUGGCCCGUUUCUUAUUCUUGAACGAUGUGGGCAGGUUGCGUAUAGACUUCGGUUGCCAGAAUCACUGUCUAUUGUGCGUAAUGUGUUCCACAUAUCUCAAUUAAAUAAGUGUCUUUCGAUUCCUGAUCGAACUAUAGAUGUGGCUGAUGUUAAUUUGGAACCGGACUUAACCUACUCAGAACAUCCCGUUCGAGUUUUAGAUCAGAAAGACCGAAUUACUCAAAGAAGGACUCUCAAGUUUUACAAAGUGUAGUGGGACCAACACCCAGAAGAAGAAGCAACAUGGGAAUCUGAAGAUUUCUUAGAAAAACAUUUUCCCAAGUUCUUAGCCUCCCGUAAUCUUUAAAAUUUAUGUACUUUGUUGUAAAGUUAGAACAAACCCCCACACCCACCCCUUGCUUUGUACGAGAAAAUUGGAAGUAAAGUUGUGACGUGUUUCCUUUUCCAUUACUUACCCUAGAGCCUUAAAUCUCGGGACGAGAUUCUUUUAUGGGGGGAAGGAUGUAACACCCCUAGUGUUACCACAACUAAAACUUGGGCAUGGCAUCAUAUGCAUUGGCAUCUCAUUAUGCAUGUUACAUCUAGAGUGCAUCCACUAGGCUAAAAUCUCAAAACAAGCUUGUGAUGUGAUGACUUGACUUGAUUAAAGAGGUCUUUGACCCUAGGAUAGGGUACCUUCCCAAGGAUUAGAAGCAUGUGGGUGUGUGAGAUGAGAAUUAGAGUAUGAUCCUAAAAGUUAGUAAAAAUGUUCAAGAAAGACUAAACUUAGAGAGUUUAAGUGCCACAAAACCCUAGAAUACUCAAAACCCUAAUAGAGACCCUAAAAAACUAAUUGGUGCUCUAUAAGGUGACUUCAAUUUCUAUGCACUUUUGGACCUGUUGGGGGUCUGCUUCGUCACCGAAGGUCCCAUAAGAAGAAACACCUUCGAAAGAUGGACACAAAGCCGAAGCUAUCAAUCAAAGAGCUUCGGAGUAUAUUUUCAGAUGCACCGACUUAAAGAUGAAAUGACCAAUCAGCCCAUGAUAGCUUGUAUUAUGAUUGUAAUCAUUUGUAAAGGGCACGAAUGUAAUCUCUCAUAGGCUGCGUCCUGUGCCUAUAAAUAGAUGAACAGUACCCCUGUACUGUUCACACGAUCUUGUAUUCGGUCGUGCGCAACGCUCGGAUUUUCACCUUCUGUCAAACCGAAGGUACAAAUGUAAUUAAAAUAUUGUCUUUAUAUUUAUCCAAGUUUACAUAAUGAAGAUAUAUGGAUGAUGUUAUAUGAUUAUUCACAUUAUCUUUCAUAUUUCGUAUGCUUUGUCUUUCAUUAAUGUAUACCGUGAUGAUGAAGGUACGUCCUUCAUGACCUUCGUCCGAAGAUGGUUAUAUCCUAAGGGAAAUAAUGCUUCGAAGGACAUUAACAUUUAAUACUUCGUGUUGCCUUGUUCUUAACUCAUAGCAUUUGAGAACAAGUCCCCAACAUUGGCGCCCACCUCUGGUGAACUCACUUCCACUUUUGAGCUGCUGGCUUCGUUCAACAAUCAAGCUGAAGUUGCUUCGGCUACGAAGCUGGUGCUCCCGAUAACAGGCGGUUCAUGCUCAGAACCGGCCAACAAGAAGCAGAAGGAGGCUCAGAGAAGGGUGCAACAUGUUGGGGUGCAGGGACCCUUCAUCAAGUCAAGAUGGUCCCACAUCCCAAUCACCUUCUCCCAGGAGGACCUUCAGCUCAAGGAUUACCCUCAUAAUGAUGCUAUGGUCAUAUCUUAUGUCAUCAAGGGAUUUCUGGUUCACAAUGUUCUGGUUGAUACAGGCAGUGCAGCGGAUAUCAUAUUUGCCAAGGCCUUCAGACAGAUGCAAGAGCUAGAGGACAAGAUUCAUGAUGCUACACACCCUCUUUAUGGCUUCGGAGGAAGACAGAUUGUAGCACUUGGCAAGAUCACAAUGCCAGUGACCUUUGGAUUUGUCCACAAUACAAGGACUGAACAUGUUGUGUUUGAUAUUGUUGACAUGGAAUACCCCUACAAUGCAAUCAUUGGUCGUGAGACACUUAAUGCUUUCGAAGCAAUUCUUCGUCCAGCAUAUCUAUGCAUGAAGAUACCUUCGGAACAAGGGCCUAUUGCUAUUCAUGGAAGUCAGGAAGCUGCCAGAAAGGUUGAGGGAAAUUGGACAGACUCAAAAGCGAUCCACAAUAUAGAUGGAGCUGAAGCUUGUGAACAGUACAAGUACAGAAGAGAGAAGGCUGCUUCGGCCGAUCAGCCGAAGCCCAUGCUUCUAUGUGAAGACGUAGCAGAGCAGAAGGUAUUGCUGAGGUCUCAAUUAUCUAAAGAGCAGGAGAAAACUUUGAUAAGGUUUUUAUUCAACAACAAAGAUAUUUUUGCAUGGUCGGCCAAUGAUCUCUGUGGUGUCAACAGGGACGUCAUUGAACAUUCACUCAAUGUCGAUCCAUCCUUCAGGCCCAGAAGGCAAAGGCUUCGGAAAAUGUCUGAUGAUAAAGCUGAAGGUGCUCGGAGUGAAGUAAAAAGACUUCUCAGUGCUGGUGUUAUCAGAGAGGUAAAAUAUCCAGAGUGGCUAGCCAAUACUGUUAUGGUGAAGAACGCCAAUGGCAAAUGGAGAAUGUGUAUUGACUUCACAAAUCUUAACAAGGCCUGUCCAAAGGACAAGUUUCCAUUACCAAGAAUAGACUCUCUUGUAGAUGUAGCAGCUUCUUCAGAGCUUAUGAGUCUGCUGGAUUGCUACUCCGGAUAUCAUCAGAUAUGGAUGAAGAAGGAGGAUGAGCCGAAGACUAGCUUCAUAACUCCCAAUGGUACCUAUUGUUAUCUUCGGAUGCCUGAGGGGCUCAAGAAUGCUGGAGGAAGCUUCAGCAGAAUGACGACCAAGGUCCUUCACUAUCAGAUAGGCAGAAAUGUGCUAACAUACGUUGAUGAUAUCAUAGUAAAAAGCACGAAUCAAGAAAAUCAUAUUACUGAUUUGCAGGAAACAUUUGCUAAUUUUAGGCAAGCUGGCCUGAAAUUAAAUCCAGAAAAAUGUGUCUUUGGAGUGAAGAAGGGAAAGUUCCUUGGCUGUCUAGUUUCAACGAAGGGGAUCGAAGCUAACCCAAGCAAGAUCGAAGCUAUCCUUCGGAUGGAGCCGCCAAGCACAAAGAAGAGGGCCCAAAGGCUGACAGGAAGACUAGCAUCUUUGAAUCGAUUUAUAUCUAGAUUAGCAGAAAGAAACUUACCAUUCUUUGAAGUACUAAAGUCAGCCGAAGUUUUUCAAUGGGGCCCAGCUCAACAGAAAGCCUUUGAAGAGCUGAAGCAAUACUUGAUUGAUCUAACAACAUUAACUCCACCUAUGUCAGGGGCUCCAUUGCUAUUGUAUGUGGCAGCUUCACACUCUGUAGUGAGUGCGGCGCUUGUACAGGAGAAGCUUGAAGGACAAACUAAAAAGCAAGUCCAAGUAUACUUCGUCUCCAAAGUCCUAAGUUUAUCAAAGAAAAACUAUACAGAAUUGGAGAAGGUGUUGUAUGCUGUGCUAAUGGCAUCCAGGAAGCUUCGACAUUAUUUUCAAGCAUACCACAUAAUUGUUCCUUCAUCACAGCCUCUGAAGGAUAUUAUGAGGAACAGAGAAGCUACUGGAAGGAUUGGAAAGUGGGCCGCGGAGCUUAAUGAAUUCACCAUUGACUACGUGCAUAGAUCUUCAAUCCAAUCCCAAGCGUUAGCAGAUUUCAUCGCUGAUUGGACGCCAGGGGCUCACAAAGAAGAAAUAAGCAAAGAUACCGAAGCAUGGACAGUGUUCUGCGAUGGUUCUUGGGGAACCUUCGGUGCAGGAGCAGCUGCGGUCCUAGUGGCACCUUCAAAAGUCAAAACAUGUUAUGCAGCCAAAUUGGAUUUCAGUUGCACAAAUAAUAUUGCUGAGUACGAAGCACUUCUGUUGGGGCUUCGGAAGUUAAGGGCAAUGGGAAUAAGAAGGGCCAUCCUAAAGACUGACUCUCAAGUUAUUUCUGGCCAUGUGGACAAAAGUAGCAAGGCAAGAGAUCGGAAGCUUGAAAGAUAUCUGGAUACAGUUCGAAGGUUGGAGGCUUCUUUCGAAGGUUUUUCUGUCAAGAAUAUUCCAAGAGGUGAAAAUGAGCAUGCAAAUUUGCUAGCCAAAUCGGCGGCUUAGGGGCUCCCUUGACCUUUGAAGUAUUUUUUGAAACAAUAAAAGCACCUUCGGUUGAACUCAUGGAGAGAGCAGUACUUACUAUUUCUCUAGUACACAGUGAAGAUUGGAGGACUGAAAUUAUAUCUUUCCUCCAAGGCAAUUGUCUUUCAAGUGAUGAAGCUUAUAACAAGAGAAUGGAGGCAAGGACAAGACCAUAUGUGAUAAUAGAAGGGGAAUUUUAUAAACAUGGAGUCUGUUCCCAACUCCUCAAGUGUUUAUCAAGAGCUGAAGGUAUUGAAUUAAUGAAAGAGAUACACGCAGGUCUGUGUGGAUCUCACAUUGGGUCUAGGCCCUUGCUGGGAAAAGUUUUUCGACAAGGAUUUUACUAGCCGAAGGCAGCUUUGGAUGCAGCAGAGCUAGUCCAAAAAUGUGAAGGCUAUCAAAAAUGUGCAAGAGACCAGAAGCAACCUUCAUCUCUCACUCAGUUAAUACAACCCACUUGGCCGUUGCAAAGAUGGGGCCUCGAUUUGCUAGGCCCACUUCCACCAACACAAGGAAAUUUAAAAUAUGUUGUGGUGGCGGUAGAAUAUUUUUCUAAGUGGAUUGAGGCGAAGCCUUUGGCCACAAUAACUUCGGUCACAGUCCAGAAAUUCUUCUGGCAAAACAUUGUUUGUCGCUUCGGCGUGCCGAAGGCUAUCACUGUAGACAAUGGAACACAGUUUGAUGCCGAAGCUUUCAAGGAAUUCUGUGAUAAGAUUGGCACGAAGAUUCAUUUUGCAUCAGUUAGACAUCCAGAGUCAAAUGGACUUGUCGAAAGUGCAAAUGGCAUUAUAAUGACGGGAAUAAUGAAGUUAAUCUUCAAUCAGUCCAGAGGAAAGUGGCCAGAUGAGUUGAUUAAAGUGGUGUGGAGUCACAACACAACAAUAUCAAGAUCAACAUGUUUUACACCAUUCAAGUUAUUGUUUGGUGACGAAGCUAUAACCCCAAAAGAAGCUAAGGCAGGGUCAAUUAGAAUAGUAGCUUCGACAGAGGACGAAGCUGAUUAUUCUGUGAUAAAAGAUGCCAUAGAAGGGACCAGACUUCAGGUUGUAGAGAAUAUCAAUAAAUACCAAGCCGAAACAAUAAAAUGGCGCGACAGAAAAGUUCAGCUAAAAAACAUUAAGCCAGGGCAUUUGGUACUUCGGAGAAUGGCCAAUCUAGACAUAGUAGGCAAGUUACAGCUGAAGUGGGAAGGACCCUUUCUGGUGGUAUCUUCGUCAAGACCCGGUUCUUACAGAUUGAAGGAUAUGGACGACAACGACAUUCCUAGAUCUUGGAAUGCGGAUGAGCUUCGGCGAUAUUAUGUGUAACUUGAUGUAAUCUUUUUCAUUUUUCCUAUGGCACCCUUUUCCUUUCCAAAGGAGGAGAAAGGUUUUUAAUGGGGCCAUAGUUUGUAAUUUUUCUUCUCUUAUUCAGCUCUACGAGAGCAAAAUCCCCCAAAAUAUGUAAAUGUAAAAUCUGAGCAUGCACCAUCGAGUGCAGAGAAAAAGGAAAAAAACAGGGAGAAGCUCGAAAGUCGUCCCUAAGGGGAUGCAGAGCACGACGAAGCUACAAAAAAGCCGUUCCUAAGGGAGCGCAACGUAAGUUUUCUGCUCAAAAGUCGUUCCUAAGGGAAUGCAGAGCUAAAUACCGCCGAAAUAUAAGGCGAAGCGCGAAAAGUCAACACAAAUACCACCGAAAUAGAAGGCGAAGAAGUUCAAAAGACGUUCCUAAGGGGAUGCAGAACUUACACCGAAAAAUAAGCGACGAAGCCGAAAAAUAAGCGGCAAAGAGACUUCAGUCAUUCCUAAGGGAAUGAAUGUUAUGAUUGUGGCUUCGUAUGUGUGUGUUUGGACAUUCAUUUGCACGUCACAUUACAUCAUACAUUGCAUUCAUAAACAUUCAUUUAGACAUACAUAGGAUCAUCAUCAUCAUAUCAUACAGACACAGGCAGAUGCUUCGGCUAUAAGGAUAAGGCUUCGACAACAAGAAAAGAAGCAGUUUCAUGCUUCGUUGUGUACGAAAAGAAGGGAAGGUGUUUUUCGCCUUCGGCUCAAAAAAUACAAGUUUCGUCCACAUCAAAGCAGUUCAUACAUGGACGAAAAGGUAGAAAUAUAUUACAAGGUAUGGACAAAUUUUACAGAAUAAGUAUCUGAUUCUUAAAUUACAAUAUUUUUUACAAGGAUAAUACAAGAUUUUUUCUAGAGUUUUUUCGCAGCAAGGUCUUCAGCUUCAUCAUCAUUAAGCUUCUGAUCAUCUGUCAAGCUUCGGCUCACUGUUCCUCAGCUUCGUCAUCCUGUACAUAUCAAAGCGGUAUGAGAAAAGUGCAAGUUUCAAGGAGAAGGUAAAGAAACAGACACAAAUUUCUUACCGGCUUAAGGUGGCUUCGAGCUUCGUCGCAAGCCAUGUUUCGCCCGCCCUUCGUCUAGAUUUGCGUUAUGAAUCUAUUUCCUAUGCUUCGAGCCAGACUGGGGAUAUCAGUUAAAUCUGCCGGUGAUAAGCUGAAGUUUGGUCUAUUAACAAUUUUCCCAUGCGUGCAACCAGAUUUCAUGAAGGCAACAACUAUGCCUCGAGAAGCUAGUAGGUCAUCAAGAGCAUCAACUUCACCCUCAAUGUGUUUGAAGGUCCCUGGCAGGUCUUCAACCGAAGGAUUGAAUUUCUCAGAGCUGGCUCCAACCGAGUUGAAAACCUGCUUUAGCCACUUCACGCAUCGGUUGCUGAAGUCUAGACAUUUAUCUUAAAGCUCUUUCAGUGAUUUCUGCAAAUUUGAACUCUUUUCGACUUCAGCCUCAAACUUCGCAUCAAAUUUCUGCUUUUCUUGUUCGAAGCUUUCCGACUUUGAGAGGAGUUCACUAUUCAAUUUGGCAAUUUUGGCUUCAGCUUCUGCCAGUAAACCCUCCACUGUUUGAAGUUCGAAAUCUUUCUUUUCAAGAGCUGCUGCAUGAUCUUUUAUUUUGCUCUCUAAACCUUCAAUUAUAACCUCAUGUUUUUUGUCUUCAAGGUCAAGUUGCAUCUUCAAAGCUUUACUUAAUAGCAUACUCUAUGCAAGAACAACCUUUGUCAGAAAAUCCUUUGUCGUUAAAACAAUGAAAAGCCGAAGAAAAGUUUUUACCUUGAAAUUAGAAUAGAACAAACUACCGACGAUAUGCUAUCGUCGGUAGCGGCUGAUAUCGGCCUCAAGCUUCGGGAAACCAAUGCCGCCGAAGAGCAGCGCUCCUGGUUUGUAACCACAGGAUAUAGCAUAAUCUUUCAACUCUUCUUUCUCAGCUUCAGAUAACUCCUGACCAAUUAUGUUUUGGAAAUCGAAGUCCUUUUCCUCCGAAGUAUCUUCGGCUUUCUCCUUUUCUUUUCCAGGCACUGUGGCCAGGGUCUCUUCAGCAGCUGUAGCAGCUUCUUCCGCGGCCAUAUUCAGGAGCAUUUUAUCAAUAUCAGAAAAUGUGCUCUCCAGAUUUGUAGCUUCGGUAGUUUCAGCUUCGGCAGUUCCAGCUUCGGUGGGUGCAGCUUCGGCAGCAGUAGCGCUCUCGACAGCUAGUGUUUUUGACGCCAAGGCCGGCGGCGGUGUUUCUUCAAUGGCUUCAAUCACAUGAAUAAUUCUCCGUUUUUUGGCCUAGCAGGCUUCUUCGCUGCCGAGGGCUCCUUUUCCUUCUAUAAAAGCUUCGUCAGAUGUGGCCCCAGUGGGCUUAGCUUGAUAGGCAAGGAUUCAGUCAUUUCCUUUAGAAUUUCUUCCACGUUGGCAGCAGAAGGUGUUGAAGGAGUCUCUUCUUCUAUAUCUGUCGCCUUCUGCUUCGAAGCCGCAUCUUUCCUUUUCUUCGGAGCAACUGCCUUCGGCUCAGGGCUCAAUUUUCUCUUCUUCAGAAUUUCUUCAUCUUCUUUAACCACUCUAGCAGCUUGUCUACCCACAACACUAACAAUUCUUUCCUUUUUUUUGCCCUUCAGCGCCGUUGCUCAAUUGCUCAUAGUCAGGAUAUUCAAAAUUCAGGGCAUCCAUUACCCGAUUCAAUCUUCUCUUCGGACGGGCGCCGAAGGCUGCAGUCAUCAACUGAUCUUCUUUUUUUGUAUAAUUGCCCAGGAUCUCAUUGCACAUAACUUCAAUUGUAUCUAACCAUUCUUGGCAGGGUUCUUUGAAGUGUUUCUUGAACUUAAAAUGAUAGGGCAGCCGAACGAGUUCAUUCUUCCUCUUCUCUCCUUUAAGCUUCGGCAUACCCCAUUCCCUUAGCGUUGGAAAUACUCUGUUGGCUAAGUAUUCCUUAACUAAAUCUCUAGUACCAAUAUGUUCAGAUACAAUUCUAAAUUCGCCCACAACAUCUGGGCAUGGUGCCCCCGGCAUCAUGUUGCACUGAGGCCUAGUCAACCCGAAGGUUAGUUCCAGCGGGCUUUGAACUAGCUUCUCCUUUUGCUCAUCUAUCUUAACAUAGAACCAUUCAGACUUCCAACCGGUUGGCCACUUAGUGCGGUAGCUAACCACCAAUGUCUUCAUGUCCUUGCGGUACGCAAAAUUAUAAUAGUCGAAGUUCUUGUACAGUCCAUCCUUCCUAGCCUUCGUCUGAUAGUGAAGUUCGUGUACUCGGCAGAAGGCUUCGGCAAGCGGCUCGGCUCCUUGGCUUCGGAGAGCCCAGAUAAACACGCUGAGCCUAACGAUAGCGUUAGGAGUCAGCUAAUGAAGAUAAAUCUCAAAAUUUUCUAGCACAUCUGCAAUCAUUCCGUGCAGAGGAAACCUCGACCCUGCUUUGAAGAAGCUCUUAAAAACUACCACUUCAUCACUUUCUGGUUUCAGGAUAGUCUCUUCCCCGCCAAACCGAAUCAACUUCUUCUCGGCUUCACCGAAGUAGCCUAGCUUCGUCAUCAUGGUCAUGUCGGCUUCGGACAUAGUCGACUUCCCAAAAUCCAAAUGGCUGGGCUUGGAUGGCACAGCAGUGUUAUAAUCAAUCUCUUCUUCACCAAUAUCGCCCUCUUCAAUAUCUGCCUGCUCGGCUUCAGUAGCAGGUGCACCUUCGUCAGAACCGCCCUCCGUCACAACCAGUCCCGACCGCCUCAUAACUUCGGAAAUUGGCACAGUCUCAGUAGGUUUGGUCUCCUCUUCGUCACGGGUUAUCCUAGCUGUCGAGCGCACCCUGGCCAUUUGAUGCUGAAUUUCUUGCGCUUAGGCAAAGUUGAAUGUUUUUUGUUUAUUCUGAAGCUCUCUCUCUUGUGACGAAGCUAAAGCAAAACGAUGCUUCGAUUGAGAAUAUGGUGAAUGAGCUUCGACUCUGGUCAAAUUUUUCGGCAGCACAACAGAACAAUGGCAGUAAAUGCUGUGGUAACUUCACACCUACCCCGUCUGUUUAUAUAGUGCUGCAGGUGGGAAGGCGAAUCGUCAAGCCGCCCGCACCCGCCGAACAGUCGCCCGCACCCACUGAACGGUGGACCAUAGUGCCCAAGAAGAUGAAUCACUAGAUCGCGCGUACCCGUUGUAUGGUGGGACUACCUUUCACUCGGAAUAUUUAAAUUGUUUCUCGACAAUGAGCUAAGGGAAGGUGUUUUUCAGACCUUCGGCAUUCCGAAGCCUGAGAGAGUUUUUCACGGGUCGAGCUCGUUAUGAAAAACGAUCUGGCACCGUGAAGGGGCUACUGUUGGGGGUCUGCUUCGUCACCGAAGGUCCCAUAAGAAGAAAUACCUUCGAAAGAUGGACACAAAGCCGAAGCUAUCAAUCAAAGAGCUUCAGAGUAUAUUUCCAGAUGCACCGACUUAAAGAUGAAAUGACCAAUCAGCCCAUGAUAACUUGUAUUAUGAUUGUAAUCAUUUGUAAAGGGCACGAAUGUAAUCUCUCACAGGCUGCGUCCUGUGCCUAUAAAUAGAUGAACAGUACCCCUGUACUGUUCACGCGAUCUUGUACUCGGUCGUGCGCAACGCUCGGAUUUUCGCCUUCUGUCAAACCGAAGGUACAAAUGUAAUUAAAAUAUUGUCUUUAUAUUUAUCCAAGUUUACAUAAUGAAGAUAUAUGGAUGAUGUUAUAUGAUUAUUCACAUUAUCUUUCAUGUUUCGUAUGCUUUGUCUUUCAUUAAUGUAUACCGUGAUGAUGAAGGUACGUCCUUCAUGACCUUCGUCCGAAGAUCGUUAUAUCCUAAGGGAAAUAAUGCUUCGAAGGACGAAGGACAUUAACAUUUAAUACUUCGUGUUGCCUUGUUCUUAACUCAUAGCAUUUUAGAACAAGUCCCCAACGGGACCAAAGUGCAUAUACCAAAGUGGUAGGGUAACAAAAACUAAGAAACUUUUAUAUUUGGAGAUUUACAAGUUUUGUGGAACAAAUAGGAGUAAAUUGCAAAAGAUCUGAAAAGCACCCCUAUACUUAACCCUGAAAUAUAGAGUCAACUAGCCAAGUUUAAGCCCUUAUAUCUCCUGAUCUAUGAGGGUUUUGUCAUGAGUCACCACAGAAAAUUGUAGAGCUAUUAUAGUAGUUCAAGUUUGAUUAAGUGAUCUAGCCCAAAAAUGGUACAUAAAUUGGAGCAAAAUGGCCUAGAAGUUGGGCUAUCAGUUGAGUUCCAAGCUGAAGACCAAACUGACAGUGGCGUCUGCCUAACUUUGGAGCCAAUUUGUGCUUGAUCUUCCAAUGACCGAAUUGAAGCUGGUAUAUAGGGCAACAAGUUUGAUGUAGCCAGCUUAGUGGUUCAUCACAUGAAAAUAAGAGAAUAAAGCUUCUCAGGUUGCUUUGUCAGGUCACUGAAUGGGGCUGGCGAUGGUACAAUAAAUGAAGAAGAUCAAAACUUCAAAGGGUUUCACCGCUGAUGAUCGUGUGUCGUGAUCCGCGCAGUGGUUGCGAUGUGUGCACGCAGUAACGUGCAAAUAUCGGUGUGGGGAGUGAAAAGAUCACCGAGGUGGUGAACUUGGCCCUGAAGCGAGUCUGCCGUACCCACUUGCCGGCGACGUGGCCGCAUGGCCGUAACCGUGGUGGCCACCGUUACCCCAGGUGCGCCACGCUACCGACCAUUUUACCACGUCUCAGAGAGUCGUGUGAGAUGGUUAGUUACCACGCCGGGACUCUACCUCUGUAAACGCCACGUCUGGAGAACUCCGGUGACUCACCUUCUUUCUGGCCGUGAGAUCAUCUCAUCCCAAAUUCACGAAGCACUCGAGUGGUCACUAUAAUUGAAGGCCCUCCCUGCUCCGUCUUCUUGUUACACGCCCAGUGCACCACUCCUCUCCUCAAUCCCUCCACCGUAGCCCGAGGAAUAGGAAUUUCCCCCAAAUCAAUCAUCUGCGCCACCACGAGGCAUCUCGCCGUGGCCAGAGCCCUCUAAGGUAACUAUGUUCGGGCUAGAGAGUGUUUUGAGUUCUCUUACAUGUCGCGAUGCUCAUCGACCCGCUCGAUUGAACUCUACCACAACCGGAACCCCGGAACACUGUGUCGCCACCAUGGAAUGCCACUGUGGACAGUCCCUCCGUUGACUCCCUGCUCUGUCCUUUCACCCAUCUUCCUGACCAUCGUCCUUCAGUCUGGGUGAGUUACUGAAGCUUAUCGUACUCUCACUUUGAACGCUACCACGCUGUUGUUGGAACUUGCUCUCAACUCCCAAGGGGGGCCAACAAGGGUGAACAAUGACGUUAACAGGGUUACGUCCUAGAUGGCAAUAGCUCUGUUAAUCUGCCCUCUCACGGGCACUGUGCGGGGGUAUUUAUAGGUACCUGAGCGCCCAGCGCCUUGUGCUAAGGACGCAUGUGCCCUCAGCUACCUAGGUUAUCCCCAGAAUAUUCCCAUAAAGCGAGGUUACAGACUGUAAUUACAGGGAUGCCUUUACAAAUUAGGCCCGUAACGCGCGGCGGCCACGCAGGGCCCGUUACAAUGGGCCGGAUCACACGUGGGCCUUUGAGCUGGACGAGGCCGCACUGUGGGAUGACGUCGUCGCAGGUCUUCGUCUGGCGCCGAACCAGCGAAGGGUGUCCCUGCCCGUUUUGUCUUUGUCAGACCAGCGGCUGCAGCGAAGGCUUCUAGCGAAGGGUGGCGUCUUUGCCUUCGCCCCGACAUUUGCCCUCCGAGGGAUCAGUUCGACAAAGUCACCUGGUGCCGAAGACGUCACUAGAUGUCGGAGACGCUGCCCUCGCUCGAAGUGGUUCCGCGGGGGUUUUUGAUAUGACCGUUGAUUGACAGCGUACUGUUGGAUUGCGGGUUUCCCGAGGCACCGCGCCCUGUUGGAUUGCGGGUUUCCCGAAGAGCCGCGCCCUGUCUAUAAAAGGGGGUGGGGGUCGGCGCUUUUUGAACUUCACUUUCCGCGCUCCGUGAAAACCCUAGCCGCCUUUUUCGCCGUCUUGCUGCUCGUCUGCCCGUCGUGCUCUUGUUCACCGGAGAUCUGGCUCGAGUGAAGCAGACCGUCCGCCGCCGCCGACGGUACGUAGCGAUGCUGACCUCCUCUUCUUCCACUGCCGCUACGCCGCCGGCCGACCCCUCGCCACCGGCCGCCGCCUCGCCGCCGACCGACGCCUCGUCUGAGGAGAUGCAGAGUAGUUUGAUGGCGGAGGAGUUGCGCGCCGGCGAUUCUGUUGAUUUUGGCGUGUCGCGGAUGUCGUCGGUCCGCGUGCAAGAUAUGCAGCGGUUGGGUUACUUUGGCGGCGGAGUUGCUCGUGUCCCGGGGGCGGAGGAAGUCCCAGUGCCGGAGGGCAAGUUGGUUGUGUUCGAGGCAUUCUUCGCCGCCGGUCUCCGCCUGCCUGCGCACCGAUUUGUUGGCGAAGUCCUGCGCAGGUUCAACGUUCAGAUACAUCAGCUGACACCGAAUGCCGUGGUGGCUCUAUCGAAGUAUGUCUGGGCGACGACUUCGUACGGCGGACAGCCAUCGGUCGAAGUUUUUGCGAAGUAUUAUUAUUUGCACUGGCAGAAGAGGAUGAUUGGGGACGAAGUUGCUCAGUUUGGGUCCUCCACGUUCACGCCGAAGACCGGCAAGACCACGAUGCAGGUAGUCGAGUUGGUUCCUUGCGCCCGCAACAAGUGGGGCAACUGGAAUGAGUUUUGGUUUUAUGUUGCUGAGGGUACCGUCGAAGGCCAUGAGGGACUCCCCGUGUCCGAGAUGUGUUCUCAUUUUUACUCAGCGUACCCGCCCUUUGAAGUGGCGGAGGAGGAUGCAGACGAGGGGGCCCUUCGGUGUGCCGCCGGCCUGAGGAGUGGGCGCAAUUUGGUUGAAGAAUUUGUGGCGUACGGGGUAUGGCCCUUGGCGCAUGGCUGGGCAUUGGGCGAAGUGUGCCCUCGCCAGAUGCCUUUCCAUGGUGGUAGGGUGGUGCGAAGUCCCGCCUUCGCGCUGAAUUUGCAAAGCCGCGAUCCGGCCGCCUUUGUGCGUGAGGCGGAGGAUGGGGCGGUGCGGCUCGUUGGACGUUACGUGCCGAGGACAGAGGGCCAGCACAGCUGGGAUAUCCGCGGGUCAAAUGACCGUUUGAACAGGGUUUUUGAAUUAAAUCAAUUGUCGUAUGACGACUAUCCUGGUCAAGACGAUGCGGACCGCCAUGGGAAGAAGCCGGUGGUGGAGACUAGAGACGACCCUGCGCCGGCGGCCGCCCUUUCCUCUAAAAAGAGAAAAUUAGGUACUGCUAUGGGAAGACUUGGGGUUUCUGAUGGUUUUGCUAGAGAGUUGAUGAGGACAUGCGCGGCCCCGGGGGGAAGGAUGGCUUCGCCCGAGCUCCGGGAGUCUUCGGCUCGGAUGCUGAGGGUUACCGGGGGUUGCUGGCCUAGGAAUGUUCCUAUCCCCGCGCGGCCGGCGAAGACUUUUUUACAUCUCGCAUGGUUCGUGAAUGGAGAGUUUUUCCUUACGGGCGGAAUAUUGCUGCUGUUGUGUCAGCAGUGAUGGACAAGGAUCGCCAGGGGGCUGCGCAAAAACGCCAGGCGGUUGUCAGGCUUGUUGAAGCCAGGCCGAAGAAGCCGCGGGGGGCUGCGAAGGCUGCGGCCCCCGGCGGAGGCAAGCCGCCGCUGGCGGCGAAGUCGGGCGCUCCUGCAUCUAGCAAGGCGCCGGAGGCUCCAAAUCGACGAAGGCUGUGCCGCCGUCCAGCGGAGUGCCGGAGGUCGCGAAGGCGGCCCGAGCGUUGCCGUCGGCAGGCAAGCGUGUCGCCGACUUCGCCACCGAUAUUAGUGUGGACUACUAUCUUGGUGGUAAGUCGUUGGCUCUCUCUUUUUUUUAAUUUAAUUGUUCGUUGAUACAUCACAGGGUCGGACGAAGGCCAACUUGCUAUAGUUGCGCCUGCCACGGCGACCACGACGGCUGCCGCAGUGCCGAAAGCGAAGGGCGGGGCUCUUAGCGCUGGAGGCGAGGUGCUGGCCCUCGCGGCUGUCAGAGAUGAGGCGGGCGCUACGUCCCGCCGGCUGAAGGAGGUGAUGGAGGCGCUAAGUCAGGUCCGCCGAGCUAGACUUCGUCUUUUUUUUUCGGCUUGCUGGGGCCGCGGUCUUAUGUGUGUUCUGCAGGUGGCUGACUUCGCCAACCGCACAGCGUCGGGGGCCCUCACAGCAGUUGUGUCUGCCGAAGUCGAGAGACUUCGGACACAACAUGCUGACGCCGUCCGAGAGAAAUCGGCCGCCGACAGCAAGUGCCGCAAGCUGGCGGACAAGGUGGCCGCGCUGGAGGGAGAGAAGGCUGACCUCCAGCGCCAAUUGGCGGGGGAGAGGAGGGAGACCAAUGAGGCCCUCGUCAAGGCGCAGGCUGCGCAGGCGGAGGCCAAUCUGGCACAGGCGGAGGGCAAUCUUGCCAGGGAGCGCGCCGAGCAGCUGCAGGAGCGGCUCAUCGCCCUGGAGAGCCGCGUGGAGCGGGCCGAGGCCGCGACGCGCGCGGAGGCCGAACGGACGCGCACACAGCUUAUGGAUACAUACCGUGAGCUGGGUGCGCGGACCGGUGACUUCGAAGUGCCGGACCGAGAGCCCGGACUUCGCUGUCUGGAAUGGGUGCAGGAGGAGCUGCAGGCACUCCCCACUGUCGUGGAGGGGUUUAUGUCGUACGCCUCCCUGGUCACCUGCGAGGGGGCGAUGAACGCGCUCUCCCGCGAAGGGUGCCGGCACUUCGAGGUCUUCGACCAGGCCGAUGAAGAUUUUGAGCGAGAUAUCUAUAAGGUUGAAGACCCCGUAGUGAAGGAAUCCGCCGGGGCCAUCUACGACCUGAUGUGGGGUCCGCACGGUCGCGAGGUGGUCAGGGAGCGCGCCGAGACGGCGAGGGCUCAGGUAACGUUUUCGUGUGUUUGGCGUUUGCUGGAAGUGGGCUGUGUGUGGGUUUGCUGAAUUUUGUGUGUUGUGUCUUAGGCGGCGCGUGGCGAGAGGGUGGACGACUUCGGGGCGUUGAACAGCGCGCCGCCUGAGCCGGAGCCGACCCCAGCGGAGGCCGUGUCCGGGGCCGCCCUGGAGCCACCCCCGGAGAUCGCAGAAGGCGCCCCGGAUGCCUCCGCAUCUGCUGCGGCCGGCGGAGACUUGCCCGCAGAGACCGCUGAAGGCGCUCCUGAUGCCCCCGCAGCCGCUGCGCCGAGUGCUGAAGAUCCUGCGACGGUGGCGGUGGAGGCGACGGCGGAGGCAACGGCGGAGGCAGCGGCGGAGGCUCCGCAGGUGGCGUAGUGGGUGUAGAUAGUUUAGGGAAUUUUGGAUAUGUUGCUGAAUUUUGGUUGCUGCGCAGGUUCAAGAUUUUGGGCCUGCGCACGCAACCGCCACUACUAAAUUUUUGGCGGCUUCGACCGUGGAUGGUGGUAACGAAUGUGGUGGAUCUGCAUCUGAGUUUUAUGAUUUUGCUGACUCUGGGAGCUCAGUUGAGUGGACUGAGGAGUCGUUGGAGGAGGACUUGGACUACUUUGCGGCCUUGGAUGUGGCUGCGGCGGAGGCUUCACCGCACGCCGCGGACACGGAAGAUGUGCCUGGUCCUAGCACUGGGCGCCGGCGACGAAGGGCGGUCGCGAAGCGUAGAGUUAGUGGGGCGGAGGGGGGUCGGCUUCGUGUGAGUAGGGCUGGCCGGCAGGAACUGUUGUCUUUGCCGGCCGCCGUGAGUACAUGUGAAGGGGAACUGCGAAGUCUUUUUGCGUGUGAGGAGCUUAGGAUAAUGUUAUUUAAUUAUAGGGAGAUGGGAAUUAUUCCUAAGGUUGAGCCAAUGUAGAGUGCGGUGCCCUCGCUUGUAUAUGUGUGAAGGCUUGUAUGAUGAGGUUGUGUGCCCUCGCUUGUAUGUGCCUGCGAAGGCGUUGUGUACUUGGUCUGGCAUGUUUUGUUAUGCUGUGAUGGUGCGCGUAUAGUCGGUCUCGGCGCGGAUGAUUUGAUGUUGUCGUUUCUGCCUUCGUUGUGCUAGUCCGGCUGCACCCUUAGGCGUCUUCUGCACGGAUAGUCUACGCGGUGGACUUCGGUUUCUUUGCACUUGUUGUGCUAGUCCGGCUGCACCCGUAGGCGACUUUUGCGCGGAUAGUCUUCGCGGUAGACUUCGGUUUUUUCGCACUUGUUGUGCUAGUCCGGCUGCACCCGUAGGCGACUUCUGCGCGGAUGGUCUUCGCGGUAGACUUCGGUUUUUUCGCACUUGUUGUGCUAGUCCGGCUGCACCCGUAGGCGACUUCUGCGCGGAUGGUCUUCGCGGUAGACUUCGGUUUUUUCGCACUUAUUGUGCUAGUCCGGCUGCACCCGUGGGCGACUUCUGCGUGGAUAGUCUUCGCGGUAGACUUCGGUUUUUUCGCACUUAUUGUGCUAGUCCGGCUGCACCCGUGGGCGACUUCUGCGCGGAUAGUCUUCGCGGUAGACUUCGGUUUUUUCCGGCUGCACCCUUAGGCGACUUUUGCGCGGAUUUGUCGCACGCGAGGGUGGCUAGCUGUAACACCCGGAUUUUAGGGGUCCAAAACCCGGGCGCUAACAUAAACACCAGGUAUGCUGGGACCAAGUCUCACACAUAUGAUGUAAAGUGGCACAGGAUCGAAUGUCACAUCUUUAUAUAUAACAGGAGUUCUAUACAAAAUAAAUAAUUACAUUAUAAGGAGACAACGGUCCAGCAACCCAAAGUUGACUGGGAGACGACGACCUAGACCACUCACGAACUCAUCGCAGCAUCUUCCAUGAGCAUCAUCCUGCAGUACCUGGUCUUGACCUGUGGUGUAUGUGAGACAGCAAGAGUGAGCUCACAUACGUUCAUCGCUCAACAAGUUGUGGGGAAUAAUGUGCAUGAACUCGCCAAAGGUGGGAGCUCACGUGAAGUGUAAGGCUUACCAAAGAGGAUGGUUAGAGCUGAGCAUUGCUUUUAAAGUUGGUCAAAAUUUUAUUAGCAAUUACUAAGUAUAAGUAAAUACCAACCCAAUUAAGUAGUAGAACAAAAGUAACAACAUCACCUGUACAACAUCACCUGCGAUGCAAUGCAUAUGACAAAUUGAGUUUAAUUCCAUAAUUUAAUCAUGUGAGUGUCCGAGCCGCUCAUGACCGUGAGCACGGCUAGUAUACCAGUUUUACACUCUGCAGAGGUUGCGCAUCUUUACCCACAAGUCAUGUUACCCAUCUGCCAAGGGAUCGCGACUUCCCAUACACCUCUACCGAGGAGGCGAGGCAGGGUAACACUACGAGGCCUUUACAAAGUUCCACUAGCUUCAGAAAACCCGCUACAGUUUAUAGGAAGCUCCAAUGCAGGAAUCCCUUGCAGGACCGCCAUCACAGCAAAAUCCUCCCGAGGGCCUCCCCAGGAAUCCCUUGCAGGACCGCCAUCACAGCGAAAUCCUCCCGAGGGCCUCCCCAGGAAUCCCUUGCAGGACCGCCAUCACAGCAAAAUCCUCCCGAGGGCCUCCCUACACUGACCACUCCCCUACUGCCCUUGCCCCUUUCAGGUAAGGUAGUCUUCCACUAGCUUUCCUAAUUAAUCGGCCAAGGGCGUCCCAUUAAACCCUUGUGGUAGCACUGUUUUCCCGGGUGGUUCUCCAUGUUCCAAUUAACAUAAUGAUCUUAUCAUGAACAGUGAUAAUAAACAGAUAAUAAAAGUGUGAUCAUGAAUAAUGUAUCUUCAUACCCAAAACCACAUAAAGCACUAGCAAGUACUACCCAAAAAGUUCAGUGGUAAACAAGGUAUAAAGAUAGACAAACUAGGGUAACCUAUUGGGUCCCAUCAAAAUUAACCUAUGCAGAUCAUUAUGAUUAAUCAGAACAUGAGUAGGUAAAAAGAAGUGAUCAAGGGCACAACUUGCCUGGGACUUGAGAUUCCAGGUACCAGGAUGAUCUUCAGAUUCUCGUGACCUCACUGCUAAUCGUAGCAAUACAAACAAACAUGGUAUAGACAAAAUUAACAUCCCACCAUACAUAAGAAUAAACUGAAUGAUAGUAAUCUACGCGUCGCUACAAGAUCGUGGGUUCAAGAACCGCUAAAUUCGGGGUUAGGGUCAUGAAGUUAUGGUUUUUCGAAAAUCCACGUGGUUAAAUAUAGAAUAGAUUAAGUGCAACAUUUUAACCUAUAUUUCAUGACAAAACAAAGUCACCAGAUGAUAAUAAAUAUUAUUGUGAGACUAAUGCAACUAGAAUAGAUCAAAACGGAGUUAGAAUGAAUUAAAUAUGAAUUAAACAAGUUUAUGGAUUUAUUUUUAUACUAAAAACCUAUUUUCUUUAUUAAAUUCUGAAUUUCCUAGCGGUUCUGGACUGUGCACAAUAUUUCUUAAGAGAUCAGGGGCUAACUCGCAAUUUCGCCCAAGACUCAGACUAACUCUUAAGUGGACGGCGGCUUUAUUCUACAGAACAGCAAGGGUUUAUUUGCAAAUAGCGCAUGGUGAAGGGGUACGGGUAAACCCCAGCCGCCAGAUCUUAAUCCGAGGGCCCAAAAACCACAUAAUCGAAAGGGUUUCAGCCAUUUUAAUCACAGCCAUCCGCGGCUGGAUCAACGGAUCAGAUUGGGCGAUAAAACUCUACGCCCAGGAUGUAAUCCACACCUUCGAUUUCGUCAUCCACGAUCAGUACACCUUCUUCUAUCUCUCGUGGGAAAACUGGGCAGCGGCGCCCGGUACCUGCGCUGACCACGGCGGCGCCAUUGCCGCAGCGCCCAGCACCCGACCUGAGCUACGAUUCCUUGAUCCUAUCGGUGCUACGCCUAGCGAAGGUUGAAGCGAGUUUGUAGAAGAGGAUUUAGCGGAGGGUUUCUCACCGUGAGUCGUGCGCACCGAGGCUCGGUCCCCAUCAGAGUUGCGGCAUCGCGGCAAGAGAUUCCCCAUGGUCCGAGGCUGACCUCGUCGAAUUGGGGUCUCGCAAAGCCUGCCCACAAUCCCACCAACUGGUCCAUGAACACUGAGCACCGAUGAAGGUUCGUGCCCAUGGCGGCGGCAUCCAUUCCGUCCAACCAUACGACGCGUCAGGAAGAGGCUAGUCUGGCCAUGCAGCACGGCGAGUCUGCGGUGGCGAUCUGUCUGUUUCUCUCUCGUUGUUUCCCUCCUCUCUUUGUUUACUAUGGCUCUUGGAUCGGCUCCAAAUCCAGCGUCAAUUGAUGGCGUAUUUACGGAAGGUGUACAGGUGCCAAUAUUUAUAUGCACGUUAAUUUUGCCAGUAACAGAAACCGAGUCUCGCGGGGGAUUUUAUUUUUUCGGUUUGUCACGGCGUCGAGAUGCAUGAAGAGCUGCUGUUGCAACGGCCCGCGAACUAUACGAUGAUUGUGUCCAAGUUUGUUACAGGCGCGGUAGAAGCUGGUUCAACUAUAGCGGCCCCACGAGUCAUUGAAACGCAGCAUGCAUUAUAGCGAGGAACGACCAGCAUGCAUAGCCUAGAGAAACGGGAGCAGUUUCCCCUGCGGCCCACACGUCAUUGAGAUAUUAAUGACGUCAUAUAUGUGCAAGCGUGAUGCAAGCAUCCGGCUAACUAAUAAAAUAAUAAUAAAAAAACUAGAGAAGAGAUGUGGGCUACGUGCAUUUGGAAAGGGCUAGGCCGAGCGUGUCUUGAGCCUACGGUAGAGAGAGGUAAGGCUUUUUUUCUCCUUUUUGUUUUAUGUUUUUUUUUUAUUUUCAGUUUGUUUCCGUUCUCCGAUUCAAAUUUAAACAUGAGUCUGAAUUCUCAUACUUUUUAUUAAAUACACGAGCAAGAAUCCCAGCAUGAUGAAAAAGUACAAUUGUAUCCAUUUAUUUAUUUUUAUCCUAUUUAAGCAAAUACUUCUAAUUAUGAAACCCAUACUCUCACAAAAAAAAACAUAUUUUGGGAAAAAGAAUUCUAGUGCAUAAAAUUACUUUUGGAGAGUACUUAUAAAUAUAUAUUCCAGUAAAGAGAUAAAUAGAUUCAUAUAGGAAUCCACUUUAUUCAAUAUUUUAUUAGAAAACAAUUCAAAUUUUAGGAGAAUUGGCUUAAGAGGUAGAAAAAUCCUUAUUACGAGAUAUUUUAAUUCGAAAUUCUUGGAGAUUUUUCCUUGAUCUCAAAUCUAUGAUUUUGGGUUAUUACAAAUUCUACCCCCCUUAAAAAUAAUCUCGUCCUCGAGAUUAGUAAGAAAAGGGAUAUACAAAGAUUGUUUUGUAAUUGAGAUUCUAGUUUCUAAUUGGUUCAAUAUGAAGAGUUUUUUUUUCUUUAAUUAGUAGGUUAUUAGAAAAGCAUGGGUAUCUUUUAUGUGUAGCCACCCAAUUAUGUAGGAUAAAAGAUGGGUAGGUUAGGGCAAGAAUAGUUUGUGAUGAGAAAGAUUAUGGUGAGGAAAGGUUUUCAUCACGAAUGGUGGGUCUUGUCUCAUUUGGAGAUCCGGAUUGGCUCUUAUCCUUCCUUGAUGACAUUGAUGUCUUCCUUCUCUGGUCUUGGUCUAAUUGAGUCGAGGUCAGUGUAUUUUAUCGGAGUUGGGGAAAUAUGGUGAAUAUAGAUAGGGGUGAGAUGGACUACAUGACGUAGGUGAGAAGUUUAUUUGAUGUUAAGUGAAAAUAGACAUAUUAUGCAAUCCAUCAUGACUCUAUUGGUUGGGUUAGCUCUACUUAAGGUUAGACUUUGUUAGGUUAGACUAAUCUAUCACAUUAGAUCAGAUCUAGGUUAGAUCGUUAUGACAAGAUAGACUAGAUAAGAUCUAUUUAAUUUAUUUUGGAUUAGAUCCUGAUUGUUACUUUAGGAUGAGAUAAGUAAAAUGGUUAGGAUAAGACAAAUCUUUCAAUAUAAGAUGGACCUAUCAAGAUAAGAGAGAAUCUUUUAAGAUAAGAUGGAUCUAUUAAAAUAUAUUCUAGUGGGGGCUAUUUUUAGUUGAUCUAAUAUAUCUAGUUUAAUAGAUCCAUUUUUAAUACGAAAUAUUAUGUGUUGUCUAUUUUAUAAAUAUUUUUUCCUUAUGUCUAGGUGUAUAUGCAGAUGCAAUUAUGGACAUUACUCCACAACCCAUCACACUCAAUCAAAGAUCCAAAUCAGACAAAUAUCAUAAGAACAAACAUUCAAGCAUACAAAUAUUUACAAAAAUAGUUUUGAUUUUGUCCCUAAGAUGAGGUCUCCUAUUCCUAAAAUCACUUUAGGCACAGGAUUUCAAAGUGUGAAAUCCACAUUUGUCUUUAGAAGGAAAAGGUAAGAAUAAUCAGAGUAAAGCAGAAAUAGAUGAGAAAAGAUUAAGAAAAGUUUAGAAAAGAAUCAGAGUAGCAAAGGUAAGUAGAGAAUGGGUGUCCAGUUCUAUCUAGGUUUCGUCCUACAGUCAACAUUCCUCUGAUACCACUUCUGUAACACCCGGAUUUUAGGGGUCCAAAACCCGGGCGCUAACAUAAACACCAGGUAUGCUGGGACCAAGUCUCACACAUAUGAUGUAAAGUGGCACAGGAUCGAAUGUCACAUCUUUAUAUAUAACAGGAGUUCUAUACAAAAUAAAUAAUUACAUUAUAAGGAGACAACGGUCCAGCAACCCAAAGUUGACUGGGAGACGACGACCUAGACCACUCACGAACUCAUCGCAGCAUCUUCCAUGAGCAUCAUCCUGCAGUACCUGGUCUUGACCUGUGGUGUAUGUGAGACAGCAAGAGUGAGCUCACAUACGUUCAUCGCUCAACAAGUUGUGGGGAAUAAUGUGCAUGAACUCGCCAAAGGUGGGAGCUCACGUGAAGUGUAAGGCUUACCAAAGAGGAUGGUUAGAGCUGAGCAUUGCUUUUAAAGUUGGUCAAAAUUUUAUUAGCAAUUACUAAGUAUAAGUAAAUACCAACCCAAUUAAGUAGUAGAACAAAAGUAACAACAUCACCUGUACAACAUCACCUGCGAUGCAAUGCAUAUGACAAAUUGAGUUUAAUUCCAUAAUUUAAUCAUGUGAGUGUCCGAGCCGCUCAUGACCGUGAGCACGGCUAGUAUACCAGUUUUACACUCUGCAGAGGUUGCGCAUCUUUACCCACAAGUCAUGUUACCCAUCUGCCAAGGGAUCGCGACUUCCCAUACACCUCUACCGAGGAGGCGAGGCAGGGUAACACUACGAGGCCUUUACAAAGUUCCACUAGCUUCAGAAAACCCGCUACAGUUUAUAGGAAGCUCCAAUGCAGGAAUCCCUUGCAGGACCGCCAUCACAGCAAAAUCCUCCCGAGGGCCUCCCCAGGAAUCCCUUGCAGGACCGCCAUCACAGCGAAAUCCUCCCGAGGGCCUCCCCAGGAAUCCCUUGCAGGACCGCCAUCACAGCAAAAUCCUCCCGAGGGCCUCCCUACACUGACCACUCCCCUACUGCCCUUGCCCCUUUCAGGUAAGGUAGUCUUCCACUAGCUUUCCUAAUUAAUCGGCCAAGGGCGUCCCAUUAAACCCUUGUGGUAGCACUGUUUUCCCGGGUGGUUCUCCAUGUUCCAAUUAACAUAAUGAUCUUAUCAUGAACAGUGAUAAUAAACAGAUAAUAAAAGUGUGAUCAUGAAUAAUGUAUCUUCAUACCCAAAACCACAUAAAGCACUAGCAAGUACUACCCAAAAAGUUCAGUGGUAAACAAGGUAUAAAGAUAGACAAACUAGGGUAACCUAUUGGGUCCCAUCAAAAUUAACCUAUGCAGAUCAUUAUGAUUAAUCAGAACAUGAGUAGGUAAAAAGAAGUGAUCAAGGGCACAACUUGCCUGGGACUUGAGAUUCCAGGUACCAGGAUGAUCUUCAGAUUCUCGUGACCUCACUGCUAAUCGUAGCAAUACAAACAAACAUGGUAUAGACAAAAUUAACAUCCCACCAUACAUAAGAAUAAACUGAAUGAUAGUAAUCUACGCGUCGCUACAAGAUCGUGGGUUCAAGAAUCGCUAAAUUCGGGGUUAGGGUCAUGAAGUUAUGGUUUUUCGAAAAUCCACGUGGUUAAAUAUAGAAUAGAUUAAGUGCAACAUUUUAACCUAUAUUUCAUGACAAAACAAAGUCACCAGAUGAUAAUAAAUAUUAUUGUGAGACUAAUGCAACUAGAAUAGAUCAAAACGGAGUUAGAAUGAAUUAAAUAUGAAUUAAACAAGUUUAUGGAUUUAUUUUUAUACUAAAAACCUAUUUUCUUUAUUAAAUUCUGAAUUUCCUAGCGGUUCUGGACUGUGCACAAUAUUUCUUAAGAGAUCAGGGGCUAACUCGCAAUUUCGCCCAAGACUCAGACUAACUCUUAAGUGGACGGCGGCUUUAUUCUACAGAACAGCAAGGGUUUAUUUGCAAAUAGCGCAUGGUGAAGGGGUACGGGUAAACCCCAGCCGCCAGAUCUUAAUCCGAGGGCCCAAAAACCACAUAAUCGAAAGGGUUUCAGCCAUUUUAAUCACAGCCAUCCGCGGCUGGAUCAACGGAUCAGAUUGGGCGAUAAAACUCUACGCCCAGGAUGUAAUCCACACCUUCGAUUUCGUCAUCCACGAUCAGUACACCUUCUUCUAUCUCUCGUGGGAAAACUGGGCAGCGGCGCCCGGUACCUGCGCUGACCACGGCGGCGCCAUUGCCGCAGCGCCCAGCACCCGACCUGAGCUACGAUUCCUUGAUCCUAUCGGUGCUACGCCUAGCGAAGGUUGAAGCGAGUUUGUAGAAGAGGAUUUAGCGGAGGGUUUCUCACCGUGAGUCGUGCGCACCGAGGCUCGGUCCCCAUCAGAGUUGCGGCAUCGCGGCAAGAGAUUCCCCAUGGUCCGAGGCUGACCUCGUCGAAUUGGGGUCUCGCAAAGCCUGCCCACAAUCCCACCAACUGGUCCAUGAACACUGAGCACCGAUGAAGGUUCGUGCCCAUGGCGGCGGCAUCCAUUCCGUCCAACCAUACGACGCGUCAGGAAGAGGCUAGUCUGGCCAUGCAGCACGGCGAGUCUGCGGUGGCGAUCUGUCUGUUUCUCUCUCGUUGUUUCCCUCCUCUCUUUGUUUACUAUGGCUCUUGGAUCGGCUCCAAAUCCAGCGUCAAUUGAUGGCGUAUUUACG